UACGUAGGGGGCAAGCGUUGUCCGGAAUCAUUGGGCGUAAAGCGCGUGUAGGCGGCUUGGUAAGUCUGCUGUGAAAGCCCGGGGCUCAACCCCGGGAGGCGGGUGGAUACUGUCAAGCUCGAGUCCGGAAGAGGAGUGUGGAAUUCCUGGUGUAGCGGUGAAAUGCGCAGAUAUCAGGAGGAACACCAAUGGCGAAGGCAGCACUCUGGGACGUGACUGACGCUGAGACGCGAAAGCGUGGGGAGCAAACAGG
RNAcentral lists this ribosomal RNA (253 nucleotides) under uncultured bacterium. RNAcentral's name for it is "partial 16S ribosomal RNA". It matches the Rfam family "Bacterial small subunit ribosomal RNA", at positions 524 to 776 of the family's 1533-position model. The record is from RNAcentral.